UCAAGUGAAUAAGUGCAUGUGGUGGAUGCCUUGGCGAUUACAGGCGAUGAAGGACGUUGUAGCCUGCGAAAAGCUGCGGGGAGCUGGCAAACAAGCUUUGAUCCGCAGAUGUCCGAAUGGGGAAACCCACCCGCAAGGGUAUCGAUGGCUCAAUACAUAGGUCAUCGAGGCGAACGUGGCGAACUGAAACAUCUAAGUAGCCACAGGAAAAGAAAUCAACCGAGAUUCCGAAAGUAGUGGCGAGCGAAAUCGGAGCAGCCUGUGCGUGAUAGUCGAUUGGCUAGUGGAACGGUAUGGAAAGGCCGGCCAUAGAGGGUGAUAGCCCCUUACACGAAAGCGAAUCGGUGGUACUGAGCGUACGACAAGUAGGGCGGGACACGUGUAAUCCUGUCUGAAGAUGGGGGGACCAUCCUCCAAGGCUAAAUACUCGUAAUCGACCGAUAGUGAACAAGUACUGUGAAGGAAAGGCGAAAAGAACCCCGGGAGGGGAGUGAAAUAGAUCCUGAAACCGCAUGCAUACAAACAGUCGGAGCCUCGCAAGGGGUGACGGCGUACCUUUUGUAUAAUGGGUCAGCGACUUACGUUCAGUGGCAAGCUUAACCAGAUAGGGGAGGCGCAGGGAAACCGAGUCCGAACAGGGCGCCAUAGUCGCUGGGCGUAGACCCGAAACCAGGUGAUCUAUCCAUGGUCAGGAUGAAGGUUGGGUAACACCAGCUGGAGGUCCGAACCGACUAAUGUUGCAAAAUUAGCGGAUGAACUGUGGAUAGGGGUGAAAGGCUAAUCAAACCUGGAAAUAGCUGGUUCUCCCCGAAAACUAUUUAGGUAGUGCGUCAUGUAUUGCUCCAGGGGGUAGAGCACUGUAAUGGUUGUGGGGGCCAUCGCGGCUUACCACGCCAUAGCAAACUCCGAAUACCUGGAAGUAUGAGCAUGGCAGACAGUCGCCGGGUGCUAACGUCCGGCGGCAAGAGGGAAACAACCCAGACCUACAGCUAAGGUCCCAAAGUGUGGCUAAGUGGGAAACGAAGUGGGAAGGCUAAAACAGUCAGGAUGUUGGCUUAGAAGCAGCCAUCAUUUAAAGAAAGCGUAAUAGCUCACUGAUCGAGUCGUCCUGCGCGGAAGAUGUAACGGGGCUAAGCCAUGCACCGAAGCUUGGGCUGUACUCUUUGAGUACGGGGUAGGGGAGCGUUCUGUAAGCCUGUGAAGGUGUCUCGCAAGGGAUGCUGGAGGUAUCAGAAGUGCGAAUGCUGACAUGAGUAGCGUUAAAGCGGGUGAAAAGCCCGCUCGCCGUAAGCGCAAGGUUUCCUACGCAACGUUCAUCGGCGUAGGGUGAGUCGGCCCCUAAGGUGAGGGCGAAAGCCAUAGCUGAUGGGAAGCUGGUUAAUAUUCCAGCACCGAUUCCAGUGCGAUGGGGGGACGGAUCGUGGAAGGUUGUCCGGGUGUUGGAAGUCCCGGUUCCUGACCUGUAGGUGUCUGGUAGGUAAAUCCGCCAGGCGUAUGCCGAGGGGUUGGGACGAGCGAGCUUGCUCGCGAAGCAACUGGAAGUGGUUCCAAGAAAAGCCUCUAAGCUUCAGCUGGAAAUCGACCGUACCGCAAACCAACACUGGUGCGCGAGAUGAGUAUUCUCAGGCGCUUGAGAGAACUCGGGAGAAGGAACUCGGCAAAUUGACACCGUAACUUCGGAAGAAGGUGUGCCCUGGUAGCUUGAGUGUGAACAACACGAGGGCGAAGGGGUUGCAAAAAAUAGGUGGCUGCGACUGUUUAUUAAAAACACAGCACUCUGCAAACACGAAAGUGGACGUAUAGGGUGUGACGCCUGCCCGGUGCCGGAAGGUUAAGUGAUGGGGUGCAAGCUCUUGAUCGAAGCCCCGGUAAACGGCGGCCGUAACUAUAACGGUCCUAAGGUAGCGAAAUUCCUUGUCGGGUAAGUUCCGACC
Molecule: ribosomal RNA, 1934 nt
Filed under: human oral metagenome
Description: bacterial LSU rRNA
Rfam family: Bacterial large subunit ribosomal RNA
Source: RNAcentral